RNAcentral lists this ribosomal RNA (648 nucleotides) under uncultured bacterium. RNAcentral describes it as "bacterial SSU rRNA". It matches the Rfam family "Bacterial small subunit ribosomal RNA", at positions 57 to 700 of the family's 1533-position model. The record is from RNAcentral.
GCAGUCGAGCGGCUGCGCGGGGGCAACCCUGGCGGCGAGCGGCGGACGGGUGAGUAAGGCAUCGGAAUCUGCCCUGAUGUGGGGGAUAACGUAGGGAAACUUACGCUAUACCGCAUACGACCGAGAGGUGAAAGCGGGGGACCGAAAGGCCUCGCGCAGCAGGAUGAGCCGAUGUCCGAUUAUCUGGUUGGUGGGGUAAAGGCCUACCAAGGCGACGAUCGGUAGCUGGUCUGAGAGGAUGAUCAUCCACACUGGGACUGAGACACGGCCCAUACUCCUACCGGAGGCAGCAAUGGGGAAUAUUGGACAAUGGGGGCAACCCUGAUCCACCAAUGCCGCGUGUGUGAACAACGCCUUCGGGUUGUAAAGCACUUUUAUCGAGAGCGAAACGCGCCAGACUAAUAUUCUGGUGAACUGACGGUACCCGAGGAAUAAGCACCGGCUAACUCCGUGCCAUCAGCCGCGGUAAUACGGAGGGUGCAAGCGUUAAUCGGAAUUACUGGGCGUAAAGCGUGCGUAGGCGGUAAGUUAAGUCUGCUGUGAAAUCCCUGGGCUCAACCUGCGAAUGGCGAGUGGAUACUGGCUUGCUGGACUACGGUAUACGAAAGUGGAAUUCCCGAGUGUAGCGGUGAAAUGCGUAUAUAUCGG